RNAcentral lists this ribosomal RNA (497 nucleotides) under uncultured bacterium. Its description in RNAcentral is "partial 16S ribosomal RNA". It matches the Rfam family "Bacterial small subunit ribosomal RNA", at positions 28 to 507 of the family's 1533-position model. The record is from RNAcentral.
GACGAACGCUGGCGGCGUGCCUAAUACAUGCAAGUUGAGCGCUGAAGGUUGGUACUUGUACCGACUGGAUGAGCAGCGAACGGGUGAGUAACGCGUGGGGAAUCUGCCUUUGAGCGGGGGACAACAUUUGGAAACGAAUGCUAAUACCGCAUAAAAACUUUAAACACAAGUUUUAAGUUUGAAAGAUGCAAUUGCAUCACUCAAAGAUGAUCCCGCGUUGUAUUAGCUAGUUGGUGAGGUAAAGGCUCACCAAGGCGAUGAUACAUAGCCGACCUGAGAGGGUAAUCGGCCACAUUGGGACUGAGACACGGCCCAAACUCCUACGGGAGGCAGCAGUAGGGAAUCUUCGGCAAUGGACGAAAGUCUGACCGAGCAACGCCGCGUGAGUGAAGAAGGUUUUCGGAUCGUAAAACUCUGUUGGUAGAGAAGAACGUUGGUGAGAGUGGAAAGCUCAUCAAGUGACGGUAACUACCCAGAAAGGGACGGCUAACUACGUG